Cyprinus carpio carpio is the source of this 1035-nucleotide long non-coding RNA. The record is from Ensembl. Lineage: Eukaryota; Metazoa; Chordata; Actinopteri; Cypriniformes; Cyprinidae.
GAUUUCUGGAAGAUUGUGUGACUGGAGUAAUGAUGCUAAAAAUUCAGCUUUGAAAUUCAGCUUUGAUUGUUCCUAAUAAACUGUUUAACUGCACUCGCAAGUGAAUCUCAAGUUAUUUUGUGGGAUAAUUAAAUAUAUUGUAAAUAAACUACAAACCUAAAAAUAUAUACAUUUAUUUUGUCCCCCUCGGCACACUCAGCCUUGACUCGAACCAAAAAAAAAACAAGAAAAAUUAGUAAGUUAGGUGAAAUACAAAAUCGUCACGGUCACAUCAGGCACAAAUAUAAUGAUUACACACUGCUAAAUAAUUACACCACACGGCCACUACAGCCCAAAACACACUGGUCAAACCAUUUCCACACAAAAACAAAACCCAAACCAUAAAAAUAAAAAAACAGAACACAGAGACUACUGAAAUUAUGAAAUCCUAAGAAAAUAAUCCGUCCAUGAAAGACAAAAAGAAGAAAAAAAAAAACUAUUCAUGAAAAACAGCAGCACGACCUGAGUUAACCAUCACGUGUUAGGCAGGCGACUGUAAAACAAAACAUAACUAAUCAAACAAGAAUCUACUCCAAUCAGGGGAUACAAAACAUUUAAUAAAUCAUACGUACCACACGAAAAAAAUCACACAUCACAAUAUCUGGAUCCACUCGUGAAUGUUCUGCUAAAACACACAAUAACCUCCAUUAAACUCGACUAACACCAUAAAACCCACACCACAACUCAUUGCGAUUGCCGGCAUACCUGAAAGCUUCCAAUAAGUGCUUGACGCAACUCCCAGGGCACGCUGCCAAGACGGUUACAGCAAUCACUUCAAAAGACAAAGACACAUACCCUAAACACUUUAAAACCACACGACGCCAUGCAUAACCUCCGUCACUUACCCAGACUGCAAUAACACCGGAAGAGGGGCGGGUAUGACAAAGCCUACAUUCUAGGGCUUCCAAUCUACAUGCUUAAAUACACCUGCCCUAAUUACCUCAUUCUCCCAUUCCCAUAUAAGGGUAACGACUGCAGAAAAAAAGAAAAAUCCCC